This 253-nucleotide unclassified non-coding RNA is filed under the name uncultured Planctomycetia bacterium. Its description in RNAcentral is "contains 16S-23S intergenic spacer region". It matches the Rfam family "Bacterial small subunit ribosomal RNA", at positions 524 to 776 of the family's 1533-position model. The record is from RNAcentral. Lineage: Bacteria; Pseudomonadati; Planctomycetota; Planctomycetia.
GACGAACCGUGCGAACGUUGUUCGGAAUCACUGGGCUUAAAGGGCGCGUAGGCGGAUUCGCCAGUCUGGGGUGAAAUCUUUCGGCUUAACCGGAAAAGUGCCUUGGAUACUGCGGAUCUGGAGGGAGGUAGGGGCAUGUGGAACUUCCGGUGGAGCGGUGAAAUGCGUUGAUAUCGGAAGGAACGCCGGUGGCGAAAGCGACGUGCUGGACCUCUUCUGACGCUGAGGCGCGAAAGCCAGGGGAGCAAACGGG